This 496-nucleotide ribosomal RNA is filed under the name uncultured bacterium. RNAcentral describes it as "partial 16S ribosomal RNA". It matches the Rfam family "Bacterial small subunit ribosomal RNA", at positions 29 to 507 of the family's 1533-position model. The record is from RNAcentral.
AUGAACGCCGGCGGCGUGCCUAAUACAUGCAAGUCGAGCGAACAGAUGAGGAGCUUGCUCCUCUGACGUUAGCGGCGGACGGGUGAGUAACACGUGGAUAACCUACCUAUAAGACUGGGAUAACUUCGGGAAACCGGAGCUAAUACCGGAUAAUAUAUUGAACCGCAUGGUUCAAUAGUGAAAGACGGUUUUGCUGUCACUUAUAGAUGGAUCCGCGCCGCAUUAGCUAGUUGGUAAGGUAACGGCUUACCAAGGCAACGAUGCGUAGCCGACCUGAGAGGGUGAUCGGCCACACUGGAACUGAGACACGGUCCAGACUCCUACGGGAGGCAGCAGUAGGGAAUCUUCCGCAAUGGGCGAAAGCUUGACGGAGCAACGCCGCGUGAGUGAUGAAGGUCUUCGGAUCGUAAAACUCUGUUAUUAGGGAAGAACAAAUGUGUAAGUAACUAUGCACGUCUUGACGGUACCUAAUCAGAAAGCCACGGCUAACUACGUG